Small nucleolar RNA from Peromyscus eremicus (cactus mouse), 128 nucleotides. RefSeq annotates it as small nucleolar RNA SNORA3/SNORA45 family. The transcript has a single exon. The record is from RefSeq and is a predicted model, not a curated record. Lineage: Eukaryota; Metazoa; Chordata; Mammalia; Rodentia; Cricetidae.
ACUGAGACUAGAGACACAUUCUGACAUGGUACUUUUCCUGAUGUUGUAGAGUUCCAGAGAGGAUCUACUGGUCUUGAUUCACUGGUGGGACCCUGCAGUUCCCCUGUUAGUGCAAAUCAGAAACAUGU